AUGGUCAAUCACAAGCAAAAGAGCAAUCAAUUGAAAGCUCUACUGAAGUGAACCAAAAUAACAACUCUAUACUUGAAGAAAAUGCACAAUUUGAAGGAGAACAACACAUACAAGAAGAUAGUCAUGUUCAGUCUCAUACUUCUCUUGAAAGUGCAAGUGAAAGAUCAACUAAAGGUA
This is a long non-coding RNA of Glycine soja, 177 nucleotides long. RefSeq lists it as uncharacterized. The transcript is spliced from 2 exons. Lineage: Eukaryota; Viridiplantae; Streptophyta; Magnoliopsida; Fabales; Fabaceae. The record is from RefSeq and is a predicted model, not a curated record.